CCUACGGGAGGCAGCAGUGAGGAAUAUUGGUCAAUGGACGGAAGUCUGAACCAGCCAAGUAGCGUGCAGGAUGACGGCCCUAUGGGUUGUAAACUGCUUUUAUGCGGGGAUAAAGUUAGUCACGUGUGACUAUUUGCAGGUACCGCAUGAAUAAGGACCGGCUAAUUCCGUGCCAGCAGCCGCGGUAAUACGGAAGGUCCUGGCGUUAUCCGGAUUUAUUGGGUUUAAAGGGAGCGUAGGCCGUGGAUUAAGCGUGUUGUGAAAUGUAGACGCUCAACGUCUGACUUGCAGCGCGAACUGGUUCACUUGAGUGUGCGCAACGCAGGCGGAAUUCGUGGUGUAGCGGUGAAAUGCUUAGAUAUCACGAAGAACUCCGAUUGCGAAGGCAGCUUGCGGGAGCACAACUGACGCUGAAGCUCGAAAGUGCGGGUAUCAAACAGGAUUAGAUACCCCAGUAGUC
This 460-nucleotide ribosomal RNA is filed under the name uncultured Prevotella sp. Its description in RNAcentral is "bacterial SSU rRNA". It matches the Rfam family "Bacterial small subunit ribosomal RNA", at positions 338 to 795 of the family's 1533-position model. Lineage: Bacteria; Pseudomonadati; Bacteroidota; Bacteroidia; Bacteroidales; Prevotellaceae. The record is from RNAcentral.